GACGAACGCUGGCGGCGUGCUUAACACAUGCAAGUCGAACGGAAAGGCCCUGCUUUUGUGGGGUGCUCGAGUGGCGAACGGGUGAGUAACACGUGAGUAACCUGCCCUUGACUUUGGGAUAACUUCAGGAAACUGGGGCUAAUACCGGAUAGGAGCUCCUGCUGCAUGGUGGGGGUUGGAAAGUUUCGGCGGUUGGGGAUGGACUCGCGGCUUAUCAGCUUGUUGGUGGGGUAGUGGCUUACCAAGGCUUUGACGGGUAGCCGGCCUGAGAGGGUGACCGGCCACAUUGGGACUGAGAUACGGCCCAGACUCCUACGGGGGGCAGCAGUGGGGAAUAUUGCACAAUGGGCGGAAGCCUGAUGCAGCAACGCCGCGUGCGGGAUGACGGCCUUCGGGUUGUAAACCGCUUUCGCCUGUGACGAAGCGUGAGUGACGGUAAUGGGGAAAGAAGCACCGGCGAACUACGU
This 467-nucleotide ribosomal RNA is filed under the name uncultured bacterium. Its description in RNAcentral is "partial 16S ribosomal RNA". It matches the Rfam family "Bacterial small subunit ribosomal RNA", at positions 28 to 506 of the family's 1533-position model. The record is from RNAcentral.